This 323-nucleotide RNase P RNA is filed under the name Kumanoa americana. It matches the Rfam family "Bacterial RNase P class A", at positions 43 to 352 of the family's 367-position model. Rfam says of the family: Ribonuclease P (RNase P) is a ubiquitous endoribonuclease, found in archaea, bacteria and eukarya as well as chloroplasts and mitochondria. Its best characterised activity is the generation of mature 5'-ends of tRNAs by cleaving the 5'-leader elements of precursor-tRNAs. Cellular RNase Ps are ribonucleoproteins. Lineage: Eukaryota; Rhodophyta; Florideophyceae; Batrachospermales; Batrachospermaceae. The record is from RNAcentral.
GAGGAAAGUCCGGACUUCAGAUAGAAUAUAAGAGUUGAGUAAAACUCAAUAUAGGUGACUAUGAGGAAAGUGCCACAGAAAUAAACCGCUUUUACAAGUAAGGGUGCAAAGGUGUGGUAAGAGCACACCAGAAAUAUUGUCAAGGUAUUUGCUAGGUAAACCCCUAAAUGGAGCAAAAAUAUAAAGCAUGAAUACGAUAAUUCUAUUUUUUAUGCUUUUUGCAGAUAUUGCAUGAAGUUUUUUGAUAAACUGAAGAUAAAUAACUACCCUUUUGAAUAUUUAUUAUAUGUUUUAUAUAUUUAAAAGAACAGAAUCCGGCUUAU